AAUCUUCCGCAAUGGGCGAAAGCCUGACGGAGNAAUACCNCGUGAGGGACGAAGGUCUGUGGAUUGUAAACCUCUUUUGUUAGGGAAGAUAAUGANGGUACCUAACGAAUAAGCAUNGGCUAACUNCGUGCCAGCAGCCGNGGUAAGACGGAGGAUGCAAGCGUUAUCCGGAAUUAUUGGGCGUAAAGCGUACGUAGGCUGUUAGAUAAGUCUGUUGUCAAAGCGCGAGGCUCAACCUUGUAAAGGNAAUGGAAACUGUUUGACUAGAGAGAGAUAGGGGCAGGAGGAAUUCCAGGUGUAGCGGUGAAAUGCGUAGAUAUCUGGAAGAACACCAGUGGCGAAAGCGUCCUGCUGGAUCUCAACUGACGCUGAAGUACGAAAGCUAGGGGAGCGAAUGGGAUUAGAUACCCNCAGUAGUU
RNAcentral lists this ribosomal RNA (419 nucleotides) under uncultured Lake Michigan cyanobacterium LMC25-8. RNAcentral describes it as "bacterial SSU rRNA". It matches the Rfam family "Bacterial small subunit ribosomal RNA", at positions 360 to 795 of the family's 1533-position model. Lineage: Bacteria; Bacillati; Cyanobacteriota. The record is from RNAcentral.